CAGUGUGCUCAGUUUAAGAAGCACAUUUCUUAGCCUCCUUAGCAGCAAGGUAUGGUAAUGGGAUUAAGUUCUGGCCAAUGAGAUGUAAAAAGUUUUGGGGUGGAAUGUUGGUGAAACCACCUUGAGAAAGAGGGUGUUGGGGAGAUGGCAGAUACAGCAGACCCUUCCUUCCUUCCUUCCUUCCUUCUUUCCCUCCCUCCCUCCCUCUCUCCCUCCCUCCCUCCCUCCUUUCUUCCUUCUUCUCUUCUCUUCUGUUCUCUUCUCUUCUCUCUUCCUUUUAGAACAUGGCACAGUGAUAAAGUCAUAGAUGCAAUCUUGGAUCAUGACGUAAUCUUGAAGGUGGACCUGUGCUGAGAAUGGAGAAGCUGAAAGACAGAAAUAACUCAGUUUCCUAAAGACCAUGGAGUCCUGGAUUGCUCACUUCGAGACUUUGUUGUUGUUGUUUUUUAAAGAGGCCAACUCUCAUUCUGUCACUCAGGCUAGAGGGCAGUGGCAUGAUCAUAGCUCACCACAGCCUUCAGCUCCUGGGCUUGAGCGAUUUUCCCUCCAUAGCCUCUUAAGUAGCUGAGUCUAUAGGUGCACACCACCACACCCAAUGAAUUUAUUAUUUUUUCAUAGAGAUUGGGUCUACUAUGUUGCCCAGGCUGGUUUGGAAUUUCUGGCCUCAAGUGUUCCUUCACCUUGGCCUCCCAAAGUGCUGGAAUUAUAGGUGUGAUUGGCCCGAGGCUGUUUUUAGAAAUACAAUCCAGAAAGCUGCCAGCAGUGGAGCCUGGCUGAGUGGGUGUCCUGCAGGUCUGAGAAUGAUUCACAGCCGUGGAGCUCCUGGAUCAUUCAUCAGCACCACCUAAGACCCUGCUGUAUCCAAUAGGAACAGGGUAGAACUUGGACACUGUGGGUGUGGGAAGAAGGGGUUCGUGUCUCAGUUCCUCCCAUGAUGGUCUAUGACUUUUUCGGCUGAUCUCAGCUCAUUGCACUUUGAGGCUUGAAUGGAUUUUAGAGAACCUAGAUGGAGUCUGUGUUAGACACUGAGGGUUGCCUACCCAACAGCUGUUUCACAUUUUUGCUCAUCAGAACACUGAUUCUGCUGCUGUUUGUUGUAAUUCGUUUUCUCUUUCUCUGAUUUGUUUAGGUAGAGGCCUGUGGUUCCUUUCUUGCCUCAGCACCUCCCCCACCACCAUGAAAUACCAGGGGCACAUCUGGGAAAGUUUUCCUUAUUCUUUUCUUAAGGAGAAGUCCAAGACCAACACUUCCCUCCUCUUGCCUUUGGGCAUUACUGUGAGGGUGUGAAGUCUGGAGCCUUAGGAGCCAUCUUGACACAUCAAAGAAUCACACUGAAAGUGGUGUGUGACCCUGACACCUUUGCGACACUGCAAUACCCAACGUGGGACCCCUCCAUCUGGACUACUAGCUAUGUGAAAUAAUAGAUGAGGACUCUGAGGAUCAGAGAGGCUAAGUGAACCACCUGAGGAAGAGCCAGUCUUUGAAAUUGAGGGGUCCUGCAGAGAUAAAUGUGAGAGAAAGCUGUUUCUUCUAUGAAAUGAAAAUGACAUCCCCUGCCCAAGAGCAGUGGUGUAAUAAUUCCAUAAGAUAAUGUAUUUAAAAUCAUUCAAGGUUUGCUGAUAAGCCAUUAGCUACAACACCAAAGGUACAAGGCAUGAGAGAAAAAGCUGGUAACUUGGAUUUCAUUAACAUUAAAAAAUUCUGCUUUGUGAAAGACACUAUUGAGACAGUCAAAAGGCAAGCCAUAGAAUGGGAGAAAAUAUUUGCAAAACACAUGUCUGAGAAAGGACUUAUAUCCAAUAUAUACAAAAGACACAUCAACCCAACAAUAAGAAAACAAACAAUCCAAUUAAAAAGUGAGCAAAAGGUGCAAUCAGACACCUCUCCAAAUAAGAUGUACAGAAGGGAAACGAUCAUGUGAAAAGUUGAUCAACAUAAUUUGUCGUUAGGGAAUUGCAAGUUAAAACAACCGCAAGAUAUCACUACACACCUAUUAGAAUGGCCAAAAUCCAAAACACUGACAAUACUCAAUGCUGAUGAGGAUGUGGAGCAAUAGGAACUUUCAUUCAUUGCUUGUGGGAAUGCAAAAUGGUAUAGCCACUUGAGAAAACACUUUGGCAGUUUCUUACAAAGCUAAAUGUAAUCCUUCUCUAUGACCUAGCAAUAUGCUCCUAGGUAUUUAUCCAACUGAUUUGAAAACAAAUGUUCAAACAAAAACUUGCCCACUAUUGUUUAUAGCAGCUUUAUUUUAAUAAUUGCCAAAAACUGAAACAAAACAAAACAACGAAACAAAAUGUCCUUCAAUAAGUGAAUUGGUGGACAAAUGGUGGUACGUAUACACAAUGGAAUACUAUUUCAUGAUUCAAAAAAUAAGGUGCUAUCAAGCUGUGAGAGGAUAUGAAUGAAUCUUAAAUGUGUAUUGCUAAAUGAAGAAAGAGUCUGAAAAGGCUGCAUAGUGUACAAUUCCAAGUGUAUGCCAUUCUAGAAACAGCAAAACUGUAAUGGGAGUAAAAAGAUAAGCAGUUGUCAGGGAUUUGGGGGAGUACUGAUCAGAUGAGGUACAGGGAAUCUUUUAGAGUGGUGAAACAAUUAUGCGUGAUACUGCAAUUGUGGAUAUAUGACAACAGGCAUUUAUGAAAACUUAUAGAACUUCACAGCACACAGUGAACCUUUUGUAUUCAAAUGAAUUAAAAAAACCAUUUAGGGCUGGGCGCGGUGGCUCAUGCCUGUAAUCUCAGCAUUUUGGGAGGCUGAGGUGGGUGGAUCACCUGAGGUCAGGAGUUUGAGACCAGCCUGACCAACAUGGAGAAACCCCAUGUCUACUAAAAAUACAAAAUUAGCUGGGCAUGGUGGCAUGCGCCUAUAAUCCCAGCUACCCGGGAGGCUGAGGCAAGAGAAUUGCUUGAACCCAGGAGGUAGAGUUUACCGUGAGCUGAGAUCACGCCAUUGCACUCCAGUCUGGGCAACCAGAGCGAAACUCUGUCUCAAAAUAAAUAAAUAAAUAAAUAAAUAACCAUUUAGGAUGUCAAGGGAACCCAGGACCAGAUGCAUAAAGUGAUAAAACAAUCUAAUUGUAUCACAAAUGUAUAAAACAACCACAGCAAUGGGGUGGAUGAAAUUGUUGUGGACCUAAGUAAUUUUGGAAAUAGAGUCUAUAAAAUUAAAGGCAAAAGAAACUAUAUAUAAGUACUGCACUCUAGUUGAAAAGUUGUUUCCUGUGGGAUAUGGGUUAACAAUUAUGAUACUGCUGUACAGGUAUGCUGGGACUGAACAAAUAAAUACAAAGAUGGUGGAUGGUGGAAGCCAGGUUUUUUACUCUUAGAGGGGAGUGCAUAGAUAAGCAAGAGGAGGAAGCUAGAAUGAUCUACAUGAUAAUGUGUUCGAGUUGGAGGUACAGUGUGAAUCAUGUUUAGCUUAAUAUAGAUACAGAUGUUUAUAUAUAGAAAAUGUAUAGACAUGGAUAUAUACACAGGUUAGUAUACACACAUAUAUAUUUCCUGGUUCUGGCAGCUGAGAGAGCCUAGAAGCAAUGACAUCUCAGUAGCUGCAAGUAUACCUAGAAUCCAUAUUUUGGUUUUCAGUACUAUGGUGCAGUACAAGAAACCAGCAAUCCUUGGAGAAAUGGCUGAAUCUAUGACUGGGGCCAGACGUUUAUAAGACGAUCCUAGAGCAUCUCCUAGUACCAGAAAGUUAGAAAUUUCUCAAAAGCAAAGCAAAACAAAAACAAUGAUAUGGGUGUAUCAAUGUGAUGGAAUAACUAAUUGAAAGAGCUCCCAAUUGCCAAAGCUGGAACAUUUGAACAACAAAAUAAAUAAGGUAGCUGGGCAUGGUGGCUCACGCCUGUAAUCCCAGCACUUCAGGAGGCCAAGGCAGGAGAAUGGCUUGAACCCAGGAGAUUGAUACUAGCCUGGGCAAUAUAGUGAGACCUCAUCUCUACAAAAAAUUUAAAAAUUAGCUGAGCAUCAUGGUGUAUCCCUGUAGUCCCAGCUACUUGGCAGAGCUGAGAUGGAAGGAUUGCUUGAGCCCAGAAAGCAGAGA
Long non-coding RNA from Pan troglodytes (chimpanzee), 4038 nucleotides. RefSeq lists it as uncharacterized. Lineage: Eukaryota; Metazoa; Chordata; Mammalia; Primates; Hominidae. The transcript is spliced from 3 exons. The record is from RefSeq and is a predicted model, not a curated record.